GAUGAAGAACGCAGUGAAAUGCGAUAAGUAAUGCGAAUUGCAGAAUUCCGUGAGUCAUCGAAUCUUUGAACGCACAUUGCGCCCUUUGGUAUUCCAAAGGGCAUGCCUGUUCGAGCGUCAUUUGUACCCUCAAGCUUUGCUUGGUGUUGGGCGUCUUGUCUCUAGCUUUGCUGGAGACUCGCCUUAAAGUAAUUGGCAGCCGGCCUACUGGUUUCGGAGCGCAGCACAAGUCGCACUCUCUAUCAGCAAAGGUCUAGCAUCCAUUAAGCCUUUUUUUCAACUUUUGACCUCGGAUCAGGUAGGGAUACCCGCUGAACUUAAGCAUAUCAAUAAGCGGAGGA
Molecule: unclassified non-coding RNA, 341 nt
Filed under: soil metagenome
Description: partial contains 5.8S ribosomal RNA, internal transcribed spacer 2, and large subunit ribosomal RNA
Rfam family: 5.8S ribosomal RNA (bases 1-120)
Source: RNAcentral